UACGUAGGGGGCUAGCGUUGUCCGGAAUCAUUGGGCGUAAAGAGCGUGUAGGCGGCCCGGUAAGUCCGCUGUGAAAGUCGGGGGCUCAACCCUGGAAUGCCGGUGGAUACUGCCGGGCUAGAGUCCGGAAGAGGCGAGUGGAAUUCCUGGUGUAGCGGUGGAAUGCGCAGAUAUCAGGAGGAACACCUAUAGCGAAGGCAGCUCGCUGGGACGGUACUGACGCUGAGGUGCGAAAGCGUGGGGAGCGAACAGGAUUAGAUACCCCGGUAGU
Molecule: ribosomal RNA, 271 nt
Filed under: uncultured bacterium
Lineage: Bacteria
Description: partial 16S ribosomal RNA
Rfam family: Bacterial small subunit ribosomal RNA
Source: RNAcentral